CGGGUUUUAGGUAGGUGGAGGUCAAAGUUCAUUUCCUGUCCUCUAUUCACUAUUAACAGGCAGGGGCUCUGCUGAAGGAAGUCAACACGCCCCUUCACAGACCGACGCAGAGGAGCAACGCAAGGUGUGCUUUAGUUUAUUCAUAGAGCAUGGCAGCAGCUCGCCGCCUUCUGCAGGUUCUGGUCCCCGAGCCCCACUUACCACCUCCCCCUGGUGCCAGACCAUUUUCAGUCCACGGCUGCAGCAGGGGAUUCCAGGGCAGCUUCAGAUUUCACCGCAUCGGCUGCCAUGCUUGUUAAAAGAGCUUCAAAUUUCUGGGACACCAAGUCCACCAGCACAAAGUAAAGAAAAAUAAAGUAUGGAGAAGAAAUGCUGUGACUACUCUAGAACCCACCAACUGAAAGGACAGAGAAGAGGGCUGGGGUCUGAAGUGCGUGCUCAGAUCUCCAUUUCCCCUAGACUGCUAAUGAACGCAACUUCCAAAGAAAGAACUGGAUGAAGGAGGGACGCUGGGUGUAGAGCAGGAACAAGAGAUACUGAUGGCAAAUGAGCUUUAUGAAGCUUUAAGCGAGACUUCAACCUAGCGCUCACAGCACUUCCUCUAAAAACGCAGACUCUCAUUUCCCCCAUCUCCCUCCUUCCUAACAUGUUUGGCAGCCCCCACUUCUUUUCUAUCAGACCUAAAUUACACACCUCUCCUACUUUUUCCUCCCAACGGAAAAUAAAAAAACAAACAAGCCAAUCCA
Meriones unguiculatus (Mongolian gerbil) is the source of this 746-nucleotide long non-coding RNA. RefSeq lists it as uncharacterized. The record is from RefSeq and is a predicted model, not a curated record. NCBI's taxonomy places the organism in Eukaryota, Metazoa, Chordata, Mammalia, Rodentia, Muridae. The transcript has 3 exons.